This 2511-nucleotide ribosomal RNA is filed under the name Triticum aestivum (bread wheat). RNAcentral's name for it is "partial small subunit ribosomal RNA". The record is from RNAcentral. Lineage: Eukaryota; Viridiplantae; Streptophyta; Magnoliopsida; Poales; Poaceae.
AUGCCAAGGAAGCGCAACGGAUAUGGUGAUGGCCAUGAGGGAGUUCCUUCAAAGAAGCCGAAGCGCCCUCCACCUCAUAACAGGGCUUCCCCUAACUCACUUUUGACUGCCUGUAAAGGUUUGUCUGAUGGUAGGAAAAAUGCUAUCGACGAAAUGGACUUCAAAAGCCUUCGGGAGAUCAAGUGCGGCCACCCAUUCAGUUUCCUUAGUGAAUGGCUUGCCAGGUUAUACGAGCCAAAAUCUCGUGAAGUGGUUGUUCCAGGGCGUGGCAGGAUCCCUGUUAAUGAAGAGUCGGUUCAUCGUGUGAUGGGUGUGCCCCGUGGUAGGGAGGAUGUCCCUUACAAUCUACCUACAGAAGCUGAUAUUGAGUUAGGUAUUGAGAUGUUUGGUGAGCUUGGACAUACGCCGAAGAUGACAGAUGUCCUUGAUCUUAUAACAAGUUCUGUCAAUAUUGAUGAGAAGUUCAAGCCAAUGUGGCUUAUGCUUGCCGGCAAUAUUGUCAUUGCGCCUACUACAUCCAACAAGAUUAGUCCUAGGUGGUAUGGUGUGUUGUCCAAGUUCAUUGCUGAUGAGCUCCACAAGGCACUGUCAAAGGGAAAGCCUACAAAGGGAUGCCUUCUUUUCUACAAUCUUUUGUACAUUGACGCGAUUGAUCUUACUGGUCUUGGUAUCGCAUUGCCCGAUGGUGCUUUUGCUAUUAAUGUUUGGACGAAAGAGAAGAUAUCUGAAGUGCUUAGUAGGGAUGUCCAAGCGGACGAAAUUUCUUAUGGGAAACUACCGUUGAAACCCCAGUUUGGCGCCGAUUUUUGCUUGUUUGGCGGUUUACAAGGUCUUGGGAAAUUCAUGCGUGUGCAUGUCCCACCAAACUGCAGUGAUGAGAAACUUGCAAAGGCUUCUGAGCUUGUCGGUCGGUUUUCGUCUGCCUUGGUUGGCCUGCUUGGCGAUCUUGUGCAAGGGUUCAUCUCCCUUGAUGAUGAAGGCAGUUCACAUGUGUCUCAUCGACUAGACACGGAUCUUAGGGGAAUUUCUUUUGGUACUCACAAUAUGGCAAAGCCCCCUCCUGCACGCCGUACCUGUCAAAUAGACAACCUUGGAAAGAAUAUUAUUGAUGAAUCGGAUACUGACAAUGAGACGCAGGAUAACGACGAUGACGACUCUGAUGAUGAUGAUGAUGAUACAGACUUUCAAGUUUUUUACCAUGGUGAAAAAGGCCAUACUGGUUCUUCUUCCUGUAGCGGGGCAGUGAACGUGGCUUCUGGCAGCGGGGUAGCAAAUGUGGACGCGCCACCCAAGCCUGCCCAACUAUCAGAUAGGGAUAUUCAUCUUUCUGUCAUGAAAUUGGUCAUCCAAGAGCUUGGGAUCCGUGUGGCUGACAAGGGCGCUGGUGAGGUCAUUCCACCCUCAACUCAGAUUAAGCAGGUUCCACGCAGGUCACCCAGCAAACAAAUUGGUACACUUGAGGCGUCAUCUAGUAUCCCACGAUCAAGUGCACCCGACAAACAAGUCUGUUCACUUGAGGCGUCAUCUACUAUCCCGAGAUCAGCCUUCGUCGAAGCAGCGGCUACUUGCGAAGUUGCAUCUGAUGUUGUUGAAUCUGUAAAACAACUUGCUGGAGUGGCCACCAUCACUUCUGUUGUUGAAGAGCUCGCCUCUGCAGCUGUUAAUGAUGAAUUGCAUGCUGAGGAAAUUCCUGCUGCAGACAUUGUCGUCACUGAAGCUGCCCAAGUGUCUGUGCCCCCUGAUGUGGGAGCGGCUGUUGCAGCAACUGGUGUUCAUGCAGAAAAAACAGCUCCAGUUAUGUUGAACUUGAUGAUGACGAAGUACUUAUGUGGUGGGAAGAAUUUGAACAUGAUAACCCAGCAGCCAAAGGAAAAGCUGUUGCCCAAGGAGUUGCUGCCAUAUUCGGCACUCAUCCCCAUCAAAGAGGAUGAGGCUGUUUAUGAUGAAGUUAUCAAGCACACAACUGAUUCGAACUCCAAGAUUAAGGGGGUAGUCGACAUCGAUGGAAGGUGGGUCACACUCGGCGAGCUUGCUGAUUGUGUGAGAAAACGGGGCAGGUUUCAACCAGUAUUAUUGAGUUGCAUGUCCGUGUUCUUCAACAUUUGGAAAUGCCAAACAAGAUUAUCUUCCCUUGGUCGCUGUCCAUAUAUCUUCUUGUUGGAGACUUCAAAUCUACUAUUCCCUGCUCUACAAAAGUUGGGAGCGGCACCACAUGACAGUCAUUGGUAUGUAUUAUCGCUGAAUCUUAAGGCGAAACGAUUUGAGGUGCUAGAUUCACUUCAUGAAGAAGAUAGUCCAUCUUUAAUUGAGCACGCAACAAGGUAUAUGAACGCUAUAAAGAAGGCUUGGUUGAUUGCAUACAAGGACUCACAUAAGCAAAUUCAAGACUAUGAACUCGUGUACAUUGAUGUUCUUAAACAGGAGAACGGCAUUGAUUGUGGCUUCUUCACUCUCAUGUUUCUGGAGUUAUGGAAUGGGAAAAAUAAUCCUGCUUUCACCCAUGACCAAUAA